Molecule: ribosomal RNA, 253 nt
Filed under: uncultured bacterium
Lineage: Bacteria
Description: partial 16S ribosomal RNA
Rfam family: Bacterial small subunit ribosomal RNA
Source: RNAcentral
UACGAAGGGUGCAAGCGUUACUCGGAAUUACUGGGCGUAAAGCGUGCGUAGGCGGUUUGUUAAGUCUGUCGUGAAAGCCCUGGGCUCAACCUGGGAAUUGCGAUGGAUACUGGCAAGCUGGAGUACGGUAGAGGAUGGUGGAAUUCCCGGUGUAGCGGUGAAAUGCGUAGAGAUCGGGAGGAACACCCGUGGCGAAGGCGGCCAUCUGGACCAGCACUGACACUGAGGCACGAAAGCGUGGGGAGCAAACAGG